GGCCCAGACUCCUACGGGAGGCAGCAGUGGGGAAUAUUGGGCAAUGGAGGCAACUCUGACCCAGCAACGCCGCGUGAGUGAUGAAGGUCUUCGGAUUGUAAAACUCUUUAAGUGGGGACGAAGAAAGUGACUGUACCCACAGAAUAAGCCUCGGCUAACUACGUGCCAGCAGCCGCGGUAAUACGUAGGAGGCAAGCGUUAUCCGGAAUGACUGGGCGUAAAGGGCGCGUAGGUGGGCGCUUAAGUCAGGUGUGAAAACUCCGGGCUCAACCUGGAGACUGCACUUGAAACUGGGUGUCUUGAGGGCAGGAGAGGAAAGUGGAAUUCCUAGUGUAGCGGUGAAAUGCGUAGAUAUUAGGAGGAACACCAGUGGCGAAGGCGACUUUCUGGACUGUACCUGACGCUGAGGCGCGAAAGCGUGGGUAGCGAACGGGAUUAGAUACCCCUGUA
This 450-nucleotide ribosomal RNA is filed under the name uncultured bacterium. RNAcentral describes it as "bacterial SSU rRNA". It matches the Rfam family "Bacterial small subunit ribosomal RNA", at positions 328 to 792 of the family's 1533-position model. The record is from RNAcentral.